RNAcentral lists this ribosomal RNA (468 nucleotides) under uncultured bacterium. Its description in RNAcentral is "partial 16S ribosomal RNA". It matches the Rfam family "Bacterial small subunit ribosomal RNA", at positions 28 to 507 of the family's 1533-position model. The record is from RNAcentral.
GACGAACGCUAGCGGCGUGCUUAACACAUGCAAGUCGAACGGAAAGGCCCUGCUUUUGUGGGGUGCUCGAGUGGCGAACGGGUGAGUAACACGUGAGUAACCUGCCCUUGACUUUGGGAUAACUUCAGGAAACUGGGGCUAAUACCGGAUAGGAGCUCCUGCUGCAUGGUGGGGGUUGGAAAGUUUCGGCGGUUGGGGAUGGACUCGCGGCUUAUCAGCUUGUUGGUGGGGUAGUGGCUUACCAAGGCUUUGACGGGUAGCCGGCCUGAGAGGGUGACCGGCCACAUUGGGACUGUGAUACGGCCCAGACUCCUACGGGAGGCAGCAGUGGGGAAUAUUGCACAAUGGGCGGAAGCCUGAUGCAGCAACGCCGCGUGCGGGAUGACGGCCUUCGGGUUGUAAACCGCUUUCGCCUGUGACGAAGCGUGAGUGACGGUAAUGGGUAAAGAAGCACCGGCUAACUACGUG